Molecule: ribosomal RNA, 544 nt
Filed under: uncultured bacterium
Lineage: Bacteria
Description: bacterial SSU rRNA
Rfam family: Bacterial small subunit ribosomal RNA
Source: RNAcentral
GGAAUUUUCCGCAAUGGGCGAAAGCCUGACGGAGCAACGCCGCGUGAGGGAUGAAGGCCUCUGGGCUGUAAACCUCUUUUCUCAAGGAAGAAGAUCUGACGGUACUUGAGGAAUAAGCCACGGCUAAUUCCGUGCCAGCAGCCGCGGUAAUACGGGAGUGGCAAGCGUUAUCCGGAAUCAUUGGGCGUAAAGCGUCCGCAGGCGGCCUUGUAAGUCUGUCGUUAAAGCGUGGAGCUUAACUCCAUUUCAGCGAUGGAAACUACAAGGCUUGAGUGUGGUAGGGGCAGAGGGAAUUCCCGGUGUAGCGGUGAAAUGCGUAGAUAUCGGGAAGAACACCAGUGGCGAAGGCGCUCUGCUGGGCCAUAACUGACGCUCAUGGACGAAAGCCAGGGGAGCGAAAGGGAUUAGAUACCCCUGUAGUCCUGGCCGUAAACGAUGAACACUAGGCGUCGGGGGAAUCGACCCCCUCGGUGUCGUAGCCAACGCGUUAAGUGUUCCGCCUGGGGAGUACGCACGCAAGUGUGAAACUCAAAGGAAUUGACGG